CCUACGGGAGGCAGCAGUAGGGAAUAUUGCUCAAUGGGGGAAACCCUGAAGCAGCAACGUAGCGUGGAGGAUGAAUGUUUUAGGGUUUUAAACUUCUUUUUUUAAAGAAGUUUAUUACGGUAUCUAACCAUUAUUCUCCGUCUAACUCCGUUCCAGCAGCCGCGGUAAUACGGAGGGUGCAAGCGUUACUCGGAAUCACUGGGCGUAAAGAGUGCGUAGGCGGGGUAAUAAGUCAGAUGUGAAAUCCUGCAGCUUAACUAUAGAAUUGCAUUUGAAACUGUUACUCUGGAGUGUAGGAGAGGUAGGCGGAAUUCUUGGUGUAGGGGUAAAAUGCGUAGAGAUCAAGAAGAAUACUCAUUGCGAAGGCGACCCGCUAGAAUAUUACUGACACUGAUGCACGAAAGCGUGGGGAGCAAACAGGAUUAGAUACCCUUGUAGUC
Molecule: ribosomal RNA, 440 nt
Filed under: uncultured bacterium
Lineage: Bacteria
Description: partial 16S ribosomal RNA
Rfam family: Bacterial small subunit ribosomal RNA
Source: RNAcentral